Molecule: ribosomal RNA, 193 nt
Filed under: Amanita sp. 'xanthomitra'
Lineage: Eukaryota; Fungi; Basidiomycota; Agaricomycetes; Agaricales; Amanitaceae
Description: partial 28S ribosomal RNA
Rfam family: Eukaryotic large subunit ribosomal RNA
Source: RNAcentral
UUGACCUCAAAUCAGGUAGGACUACCCGCUGAACUUAAGCAUAUCAAUAAGCGGAGGAAAAGAAACUAACAAGGAUUCCCCUAGUAACUGCGAGUGAAGCGGGAAAAGCUCAAAUUUGAAAUCUGGCAGCCUUUUUUUUCUUCUUUGGCUGUCCGAGUUGUAAUCUAGAGAAGUGCUUACCUGUGCUGGACCG